UAGUUUGUAAUUUUGUUUUCCGGUUUCGAGUUGUUUAUCGUCGGCGAAUGACCCGUGUGGCGGUGCAUGCUUUCGGUUCGACAUUUUGACCAGGGACUUCUACUUCACAGGUUUACAAGGUAAGCUAUUUCUAAAGGAAGAGUCUUCUACAGCAGUGAGCCAGGUACAACAGGUUUGAAAAACAUGGCAUCCAGCUGCGAGGAAGAAUACUCGGCUCUUUACCUUGGUAUUGUGGAUGACGAAGAUAAUUACGUAAAGUUCAAGAUAGAUAGGAAAGAUCUUGGUGAUUUUAGAAAGCUGGAUUUUAGCGUCACUUUUGAUGAGGCACAAAGACAGCUGUGGGUUCGGACCAGGAAGGACAAUGUCUUGUAUCAAUAAGAAGAAGGAUUAUGCAUCCCUGCGGAUAGAAAAGGAUUUGAAAAAUGGAAAAUUUAAUCUUAAUGACAAAUAAAACACAUCAUCAUCAAUGCUCUUUAGAAUGGUUGAGUACAGCUUUUGUUGUAAUCAAGAUUUCAGAGAAGAUCAAAGACAGCUUUUUAAGAGACAAUCCUGGAAUAUUCUAACACAGCAUUUAGUUUAUAGUUCACAUUUAUAAAACUGUACAUUAUACAUAAUAACGAUGUGAUCUCUUGUUGCUAGACAUUAACACUGGAUAACCUCCACUUGUUGGAUAACAUAUAUUAACAUAAUUAUAGACAUCAACAUAGAUUACCUUGGCUCGUUUAAGAAUACCUUUUAGGUAUAAUACUGGAAUAUCUCCCCUUGUUGGAGAUGACCAUAAUAUAACCUACAUGGAGAUGACCAUAAUAUAACCUACAAUGUACAUGUAUUUUAAUUGAAGGAAAUCUCUUGUAAAAAAGUUGAUAACGAGACUUUUAAAAACAUCGUACUGUGUAUUGAAUUCAUUUCACUGUCUUAACUGGGUAACAACAGACAAUAAACUGAAUUGUUUUGUGAUGUCUAAUAAUGUUUAAUAAAUAAAGGACGAAAAAAGGCGA
RNAcentral lists this unclassified non-coding RNA (998 nucleotides) under Mizuhopecten yessoensis (Yesso scallop). Its description in RNAcentral is "uncharacterized LOC110465329, transcript variant X5". Lineage: Eukaryota; Metazoa; Mollusca; Bivalvia; Pectinida; Pectinidae. The record is from RNAcentral.